UACGGAGGAUGCAAGCGUUAUCCGGAUUUAUUAGGUUUAAAGGGUGCGUAGGCGGAAAAUUAAGUCAGUGGUGAAAUCUUGUAGCUCAACUACAAAACUGCCAUUGAUACUGGUUUUCUUGAGUAUAGUUGAGGUAGGCGGAAUGUGUAGUGUAGCGGUGAAAUGCAUAGAUAUUACACAGAACACCAAUUGCGAAGGCAGCUUACUAAACUAUAACUGACGCUGAUGCACGAAAGCGUGGGUAGCGAACAGG
This 253-nucleotide ribosomal RNA is filed under the name uncultured bacterium. Its description in RNAcentral is "partial 16S ribosomal RNA". It matches the Rfam family "Bacterial small subunit ribosomal RNA", at positions 524 to 776 of the family's 1533-position model. The record is from RNAcentral.